UCCAAUUUAACUGGGCAUCCUGUAUUUGAUCUGAUGAGUCUUCCUUUGAGGGCAGGGAUCUGGGACUUCAGUCUUUCUUCAUCUACCUCUUUCCUCCCUCGUCCAUAUCACUGCCACACUCAGACCCACCGUGCCUAGCACAGUGGCUUUCAAAGAUCCUGAGGGACUCCAUUUAAUGAAAACCAUCCUCUUUCAGGCUAAGCACUUAGCUCCCACCGAGGCUGAGGAGGCAAACAUGUAAAUUGAUUCAUUUCACUAUAUUCUGAUACCCGCUAACGAACGGCAGGAUGAGCCAAGCGCCGCGAGGAUCUCAGGCAGGGAGCCCCUCAGCCUUCAGAAUAGCAACUGGAACGGCUUCCCGGAGGAUGGGAUCCCCAGGAUCCAGUGUCUACCCUUCUCCACCCAGCUGUGUGCACUGGGGGCUGACCUGGUCUUCCUUUUGGCAAAUGGCCAGUGGGAGGUACAAGCAGGAGAUCUGCCAAUCAGGUAAGGGUGAAACUGGGUAUUUAUUCCCCUGACUCCCUUCCUGUAGGGACAAGGUAGAUUGCCAGGGUCUUAAUACUGUGAGUCAUAUAGCUCUUGUUGUCUGUU
RNAcentral lists this long non-coding RNA (591 nucleotides) under Mustela putorius furo (domestic ferret). Its description in RNAcentral is "lncRNA (ENSMPUG00000030497.1)". Lineage: Eukaryota; Metazoa; Chordata; Mammalia; Carnivora; Mustelidae. The record is from RNAcentral.